Long non-coding RNA from Rhineura floridana, 961 nucleotides. RefSeq lists it as uncharacterized. Lineage: Eukaryota; Metazoa; Chordata; Lepidosauria; Squamata; Rhineuridae. The record is from RefSeq and is a predicted model, not a curated record. The transcript has 4 exons.
UAACGGACUUGAGGUCAGGGGGCUGCAUCACGCUGGUGGCAUCCUGGGAGCUGCUUGGUAAGGGAGGAGUUGGCACUUUUGCUGGAGCUUCCCCCAACAGGUCCUCAGCAGCAACUGGGGGCGGUGCACUCUCCUCCUCCUCAGAGAUCGCGCCUUCUGUGGGAACUGGCUGGAAUUCAGGCUCGCUCCCCCCGCCCAAGGUCUCGCUCAGACUCAACAACUCCCAAGUCUUCUGUGUCUCCUGGCAGUGGAGGCUGUGAUGUUCCUGUAUUAGUGUAAAUAGGAUGUUGUGCUAAAGGUUCCAUCACCAUCAAGAACAGGAGAGGAGAGAGAGGGCAUCCUUGUUUUGUUCCUCUAUGGAUUGUAAAUUGUGGAGAAUCUCUGCCAUUUAUCCUAAUCACUGCUGUAGAAGUUACUUGGAGGAAGCAGGGGAAGUCUUCUGCUCCUGUGAUUGGUGGGCAACAGACAUGUGACUCACACUGGCCUUCUGCUCAGCGUUGCUCUUCCCUCGUGCUCUGUGUGAGGAAGCACAAGGGAGGAAUUGAAGAGCCAGAUGGUCAGGAGAGAGAGAGAGAGAGAGAGAGAGAGAAAUGGACGGUGGAGGGAAAAAGCCAGAGGGCAAGGAUGAUGGAGAAGGCAGCAGCAGAAUGGAGGGUUGUCUGGUAAGCAACCAAGGGUGAAAAUGCCAUGAAGGCAUAGUGGCUUUCGACGGAGCAAGCUGCAAUGUGGUUGAUACUGGGGCAUGAUCUGUGAUCCUUAUUACUCCUAUAUCAGCAUUUUGUACAAGAGAAAGCAGAGUGUCUGAGAGCACUAUACCAUCUAGCCGUGAAUGAGUUUUAUAAACUGAUGAGAAAAAGGUGUGCCUAUGAUCAGUCGGGUAUAAUUCUGACCAUACUUCUUUCAAAGUAUAACAUUGUAAGAUGUGUAAAAAUUGUGUUUUGGUUUGGCUCAUUGUUUGAGC